RNAcentral lists this ribosomal RNA (324 nucleotides) under uncultured bacterium. RNAcentral's name for it is "bacterial SSU rRNA". It matches the Rfam family "Bacterial small subunit ribosomal RNA", at positions 28 to 334 of the family's 1533-position model. The record is from RNAcentral.
GAUGAACGCUGGCGGCGUGCUUAACACAUGCAAGUCGAGCGAAGCGCUCACGCGGAAUUUUUCGGAAGGAAGCGGGAGUGACUUAGCGGCGGACGGGUGAGUAACGCGUGGGUAACCUGCCCCAUACCGGGGGAUAACGGUUAGAAAUGACCGCUAAUACCGCUUAAGCGCGCGAGGCCGCAUGGCCGUGCGCGAAAAACUCCGGUGGUAUGGGAUGGGCCCGCGUCUGAUUAGGUAGUUGGCGGGGUAAGGGCCCACCAAGCCGACGAUCAGUAGCCGACCUGAGAGGGUGGCCGGCCACAUUGGGACUGAGACACGGCCCAA